This 587-nucleotide small RNA is filed under the name Pan troglodytes (chimpanzee). RNAcentral's name for it is "retained intron". Lineage: Eukaryota; Metazoa; Chordata; Mammalia; Primates; Hominidae. The record is from RNAcentral.
AAUAUCUGGAGAAAACUCUGAUAAACCUGGUGUGGGCUCCUUAGGGCAAGUGAGAUCACAAGGUAAGAUAGCUUCUCCUGUCUUACUGCAGGAAGUCCUCAUCCCUGAGAUGAAGUGGAGAAAGGUAUGCCCUUCCUCCAGGUCCCUGUCUCUCCCAGACAACAUCCCUUGUGUCCCUCCAUCAUCCGUGGACUCCACAGACAGUUUCUUCCCCUCCAGGAAGCCUCCAAUGUCUGAAAAGUCAAGAGCCCAAGUAGCUUCAGAAAAUGGUGGGAGGUGGGCAUGGCCCAUGCCAGGCUGGGGUCCUGCCUGCCCUAAGAAGAUGCCGAACUGCUCUCCCACUGCAAAGAAUGCUGUCUAUGAGGAGGAUGAGCUGGAGGAGGAGCCCAGGAGCACUGGGGAGCUGAGGCUCUGGGAUUACCGGCUCCUCAAGGUCUUCUUUGUGCUGAUCUGCUUCCUGGUCAUGUCCUCAUCCUACCUGGCGUUCCGUAUUUCUCGGCUAGAGCAGCAGUUAUGCUCCUUGAGUUGGGACGGCCCAGUCCCUGGGCACAGCUCUUCUCUUCCCUCUAUGAGAGAUCUGAAGUACG